GACGGGGGCCCGCACAAGCGGAGGAACAUGUGGUUUAACUCGAUGAUACGCGAGGAACCUUACCCGGGCUUGAACUGCAGGAGAAGGAUCUAGAGAUAGUGACGUCCUUCGGGACUCCUGUGGAGGUGCUGCAUGGUUGUCGUCAGCUCGUGCCGUGAGGUGUCGGCUUAAGUGCCAUAACGAGCGCAACCCCUGCCUUUAGUUGCCAUCAGGUUAAGCUGGGCACUCUGGAGGGACUGCCACCGCAAGGUGUGAGGAAGGUUGGGAUGACGUCAAAUCAGCACGGCCCUUACGUCCGGGGCUACACACGUGUUACAAUGGGGCAUACAGCGAGUUGGUGUGUGGCGACGCACAUCUAAUCAUGAAAAUGUCUCGUAGUUCGGAUUGGGGUCUGCAACCCGACCCCAUGAAGCUGGAUUCGCUAGUAAUCGCGCAUCAGCCAUGGCGCGGUGAAUACGUUCCCGGGCCUUGUACACACCGCCCGUCAAGCCAUGAAAGCUGGGGGCGCCUGAAGUCCGUGACCGCGAGGGUCGGCCUAGGGCGAAACCGGUGAUUGGGGCUAAGUCGUAACAAGGUAGGCCGUACCGGAA
Molecule: ribosomal RNA, 590 nt
Filed under: uncultured bacterium
Lineage: Bacteria
Description: bacterial SSU rRNA
Rfam family: Bacterial small subunit ribosomal RNA
Source: RNAcentral